Molecule: ribosomal RNA, 501 nt
Filed under: uncultured bacterium
Lineage: Bacteria
Description: partial 16S ribosomal RNA
Rfam family: Bacterial small subunit ribosomal RNA
Source: RNAcentral
AUUGAACGCUGGCGGCAGGCUUAACACAUGCAAGUCGAGCGGGGGAAGGUAGCUUGCUACCGGACCUAGCGGCGGACGGGUGAGUAAUGCUUAGGAAUCUGCCUAUUAGUGGAGGACAACAUCUCGAAAGGGAUGCUAAUACCGCAUACGUCCUACGGGAGAAAGCAGGGGAUCUUCGGACCUUGCGCUAAUAGAUGAGCCUAAGUCGGAUUAGCUAGUUGGUGGGGUAAAGGCCUACCAAGGCGACGAUCUGUAGCGGGUCUGAGAGGAUGAUCCGCCACUCUGGGACUGAGACACGGCCCAGACUCCUACGGGAGGCAGCAGUGGGGAAUAUUGGACAAUGGGGGGAACCCUGAUCCAGCCAUGCCGCGUGUGUGAAGAAGGCCUUAUGGUUGUAAAGCACUUUAAGCGAGGAGGAGGCUACUCUAGUUAAUACCUAGGGAUAGUGGACGUUACUCGCAGAAUAAGCACCGGCUAACUCUGUGCCAGCCGCCGCGGUAA